RNAcentral lists this ribosomal RNA (365 nucleotides) under Streptomyces griseus. RNAcentral's name for it is "bacterial SSU rRNA". It matches the Rfam family "Bacterial small subunit ribosomal RNA", at positions 34 to 403 of the family's 1533-position model. The record is from RNAcentral. Lineage: Bacteria; Bacillati; Actinomycetota; Actinomycetes; Kitasatosporales; Streptomycetaceae.
CGCCGGCGGCGUGCUUAACACAUGCAAGUCGAACGAUGAAGCCUUUCGGGGUGGAUUAGUGGCGAACGGGUGAGUAACACGUGGGCAAUCUGCCCUUCACUCUGGGACAAGCCCUGGAAACGGGGUCUAAUACCGGAUAACACUCUGUCCCGCAUGGGACGGGGUUAAAAGCUCCGGCGGUGAAGGAUGAGCCCGCGGCCUAUCAGCUUGUUGGUGGGGUAAUGGCCUACCAAGGCGACGACGGGUAGCCGGCCUGAGAGGGCGACCGGCCACACUGGGACUGAGACACGGCCCAGACUCCUACGGGAGGCAGCAGUGGGGAAUAUUGCACAAUGGGCGAAAGCCUGAUGCAGCGACGCCGCGUG